GACCGCCCCCAGCCUGGCGCCGCUGCCGCCCGCCUCAGCCCAACAUGGCGAUGCACAACAAGGCGGCGCCGCCGCAGAUCCCGGACACCCGGCGGGAGCUGGCAGAGCUCGUGAAGCGGAAGCAGGAGCUGGCGGAAACACUGGCAAACUUAGAGAGACAGAUCUAUGCUUUUGAAGGAAGCUACCUGGAAGACACUCAGAUGUAUGGCAAUAUUAUUCGUGGCUGGGAUCGGUAUCUGACCAACCAAAAAAACUCCAAUAGCAAAAACGAUCGAAGGAACCGGAAGUUUAAGGAAGCGGAGCGGCUCUUCAGUAAAUCCUCAGUUACUUCAGCAGCUGCAGUAAGUGCAUUGGCUGGAGUUCAGGACCAGCUCAUUGAGAAGAGGGAACCAGGAAGUGGGACGGAAAGUGAUACUUCUCCUGACUUCCACAAUCAGGAAAAUGAGCCCAGCCAGGAGGACCCUGAGGAUCUGGAUGGAUCUGUGCAGGGAGUGAAACCUCAGAAGGCUGCUUCUUCUACUUCCUCAGGGAGUCAUCACAGCAGCCAUAAAAAACGGAAGAAUAAAAACCGGCACAGGUAUGUAUAUUAGGUUAGGCUGGGAAGUUUUUUUUAAAAACAGAAAAACGUGAUGGAGGAUUGAUCUGAAGUUAAACAAAAAACCACGCGCUGACUAUUAGAAGACUCAUUAGUGCAGAAGCUUCCAGGCUGCAGAGCCCUGCUUCCCUCCUCCGACCUCACAAAGAUAAACAUCCCUUACCUGAGUGGUGGCCAUCCAUCUCUGCUUGCCCAGACCCAGUGCCUGUGACUCUGAGUAGUUUGUUCGGAAACGUGGUGACAAACAAGUCAUUUCUGUAAGACCACAUCGGAUCAUUCACUUUGUGUCAUUUUUAGUAACAGAACUGCAGGAAGACCCAAGACAUGGUUAUAGUCCCAGCAAGCUGCUAACUGUGCAUUUCUCCCUUCUUGGAAUGAACGUCUCCCCCCAGACUGGCUGGCACCAGCUUCAUCUGUGAUACGCGUCGGAAAAUGUUCUCUGGGUUUGUUUUUAUGCUGAAAGUAGGACACAGGUCACAUUUCAGAGGGAGGCUGUAAAUAUCUGGUGUUUUCUUAUUUUGUUUGUGUUUUAUCAUUUUUCUGUUGUUGUUUUUACCAUCUUAUUUUCUUUGGGGACUUUUCAUAAUGCCGUUGUACAGCUCAUACCUUCCUGCUUACAUAUCUGAUCAUCUGUUUUGUGCAGUUGCCAAUAUUCUGAACUGAAAAUAAUCUGGUUUACCAUAAAUAAAAUGGGGACUUGGCUUUUGGGGGGGUUUUUUGCAGGGGGAAGGUAAAGAGUGUUUAUUUAAGAAUUACCUAUCUUAAAUCUGAGUUGGAAGCAGUUUCAUGUUCAAGGAACAGGAAAAGCUGAAAAAUGGGUUUAAAUCAGUCCUUUUAAAAUAGAUAUUUUUAUUCUUUUGUAUAAAUAAAAUUUCACAGGCUUUGACUUCUCAUGCUUUACUUUUAAAUCGGAAGUUAUUUUCUCACUUAUUUAUUCAUAUCAUGCCUUAUGGAAAUUUCUCUUUUUCCAUCUCUUCUCUCUUUGCUGAUAUUUGCCUGAUUAAAUAAUUGUUCUAAAAACCACUAAGGCAAAUGGAAAGGCUCCAUACUGUACCCAAAGCUGAUAACAUCCGGAGCUCUUGAGCCGAGUGAAUGCAUGAUCACCGAGAGGCUGUGACGCCCAGCGGAUGCCCCGUCCUUUCGGGGUGGAUGGGCUGAGGAACCUGCUGACGGCUAUUACCCGCCUCUGAAACGACCCACCUCAGCUGCACGUCGGCAUCACAUGGGAUGCCUAAAAAGUACUGAUGCCUGGGUCCCACCUGCCAAGACUCUGACGCAGGUGCAAUCUAGCACUGGGGGGAGUCUUUCAAAGAGUCCCUGGGAUUCUGAUAAGAAGCCAAGUUGAGAACCGAUGCAUCAGAAGACUGGAUGGUUCGAUUUCAGUUCUCCGUCCUGAAUCAGUUUAAGGGAUGCAAUGUGGGGCCUCACCUUUCCUUUGACUCUAUUUAGUCAUAGUCCCUUACUUAUGUCCAUGUCUCUGUUAGAAAAAAAGAUGUUCCAUUUGUGAUAAUAUCAGUAGGACUGAACCAAGGAUUGCGUCUGUGAUCAAAACACGUCUACUCUGUCAGAUGUGCAAAAGCUUUCACUCUUGUUCUCAAAUAAACGUUUUUUGUUUUU
RNA transcript from Phacochoerus africanus (Common warthog), 2212 nucleotides. It is a transcript of the gene named MYST/Esa1 associated factor 6, with no coding region annotated. The transcript has 8 exons. NCBI's taxonomy places the organism in Eukaryota, Metazoa, Chordata, Mammalia, Artiodactyla, Suidae. The record is from RefSeq and is a predicted model, not a curated record.